UUCUUGUAUCAUGGCAGCCAGGAAG
This 25-nucleotide non-coding RNA is filed under the name Rattus norvegicus (Norway rat). Lineage: Eukaryota; Metazoa; Chordata; Mammalia; Rodentia; Muridae. The record is from RNAcentral.